RNAcentral lists this ribosomal RNA (457 nucleotides) under uncultured bacterium. Its description in RNAcentral is "bacterial SSU rRNA". It matches the Rfam family "Bacterial small subunit ribosomal RNA", at positions 28 to 479 of the family's 1533-position model. The record is from RNAcentral.
GACGAACGCUGGCGGCGUGCUUAACACAUGCAAGUCGAACGGAGUUUACAGGCGGAAGCCUUCGGGUGGAAGGCUGUAAACUGAGUGGCGGACGGGUGAGUAACGCGUGAGCAAUUUGCCCUUUGGAGGGGAAUAACAGCCGGAAACGGUUGCUAAUACCGCAUAAGACACGUUGGAGGCAUCUCCGGGGUGUGAAAGGAGAAAUCCGCCAAAGGAUGAGCUCGCGUCCCAUUAGGUAGUUGGUGAGGUAACGGCUCACCAAGCCGACGAUGGGUAGCCGGACUGAGAGGUUGGCCGGCCACGACUGGAACUGAGACACGGUCCAGACUCCUACGGGAGGCAGCAGUGGGGAAUAUUGGGCAAUGGGGGAAACCCUGACCCAGCAACGCCGCGUGAGGGAAGAAGGGUUUUCGGAUUGUAAACCUCUGUCCUAUGGGAAGAAGAAAGUGACGGUACC